Molecule: long non-coding RNA, 4058 nt
Filed under: Sus scrofa (pig)
Lineage: Eukaryota; Metazoa; Chordata; Mammalia; Artiodactyla; Suidae
Description: lncRNA (ENSSSCG00065074990.1)
Source: RNAcentral
GCAGGGUAUUUUUGGAUGAAAUGAAUGGGAACAUUCACUUGGAGAACUAACUUGUGCAAGUAGAAAACAAAAGAGCGAGCGAGUACAUGUGAAAGAACACAGUCCAGGGUCAGAAGGCACCCAGGGAACCAUCAGACCAGCAGCUCCUGAACUUAUCUGAGAAAGGUCAAGGCCUCCUGCAAAUCAGCUGAGGAAUGAGCCCUAAGCCUGAAGGAGUGACAGAAAGCAGCAGUACUAGAACCAAAACCAGAAGGAGAGAGCCUCCCUAGGAAAGAAGAACCCAGAGUGAAUGGAGUUGAGUACUUGGAGAUGCAAAGAGACCAAGAAAUUAAAGACUGAACCAGAGAAGAGUUCUAGAGGAGACUGUUCUUUGAGAACGUGGAGGAUGAUCAAGCUAAAGGAGCCCAGGGUUUUGAUAUCUCCUGGAGACCAGAGGCUUGACAGCCACCUGCCAGCCACAUUUGCGCCCUUCACCACAUUGUGAUCUCUGAAUGAACUCUUCCUACUGAUGCCUAGCAGCCUCUAUUCCAGAUCAAUUCUGUGGUAGGCAAAAUAGUGGCCUCUCGAAUAUCCACAUCCCCAGAACCUGCGAAAGACCUCCAGGAAAAGAAUGGAGCCCUGUCAUCACCUUGAUUUUUAGCUUAGUGAGACCCAAUGUUGGACUUCUGAAUUCCAGAAAGUUGCAAACUAUUUGUUGAAAAGACUUUGUUUUCCCCAUUAAACUGCACCAGCAUCAUUCAACCAUAGCACAGACUACCUCAUUCCUGACUUCCAUGCUGAAUUCCCUUCAGGGUGUGUCAAAACUGCACCCAUGGAGCAGUUCCAGGCAUGGAGAAGUUCCAGAACCAGGAAUCAAACCUGCACCGUAGCUGCAACUGAAGUCACAGCAGUGACAAAGCUGGAUCCUUAACCUGCUGCACCACCAGGGAACUCCAAUUUUUUCUAAUAUUUUAAUUCUAUCUUUUCUAAUUAGAAAAAAAUAGAUAUUACUAUUGCCAUUGUUGUUUACAUGUCACAUUGGUUUAGAAUUGCCCACAUAUUGUCUUUCUCUAACAAAAGAUCUGAUAAAUAAUCACAUCUACUUGUUCAGACUCUGAACUAAUUAAAAGAUAAGCAAGGAUUCAAACAUAUGGGGAAAAAAUGACAUAUUCAAGAAUGUGGCUUAAAUCUGCAGGCAAGAGAGUUUCAUGAUACUGAGCCACAGAAAGAAACUUUAUCCACACUCCAAUGAAAAUAGGGGUCCAUCUCAAUGUGAGAGUACUCCCCUAGAAAUAUGGAUCGAGGAUCAGCAUGGACCUUGUGCAUGCUAGCCAUAGGCAUCUGAUUACAAACAGUGUACAGCACCAGUUCUUUUGUUAUAUGUUAAGUACCAUAUAAUAGAAAGUUUUGUAAUCAAUGUAAAAUCCUCUGUUCUGCCCCUUUCUUAAGAAUUUGUAGCACUUAAAUGAAGAUGAAAGUUUAAAUCUGCUUUUCUUUUUAGGGCUGUACUAUGGCAUAUGGAAGUUUCUGGGCUAGGGGUUGAAUUGGAGCUGCAGGUGCCUGCCUACACCACAGCCACAGCAAAGCUGGAUCCAAGCCACAUUGCAACCUACACCACAGCUCAUGGCAAUGCCAGAUCUUUAGCCCAUUGAGUGUGGCCAGGGAUCAAACCCAAGUCUUCAUGGAUUACUAGUCACGUUCAUUACCACUGAGCCACAACAGGAACUCCUAAAAUGAUUUUCUUAAACUACAAUUCUCUGAUAAUAUUUUUAAAUUUUUUUUAUAAUUUCUAGGGAGAACAAGAUAUCAAAGGGUUGACACAGGAGCAUAUAACACUGUGGUAUUUAAAAUAUAUAGCAAAUAGCUAUAUAUAUAUAUAUAUAAAGAGAGAGAGAGCAUGAGACAGAGAGAGAGAAGUGUUUUCAACGAAUUCUAGGGGUCAAGAUCAGAGCUCUUUCCUUGAAGAACUGAGCUAGUAGGCAAAUCAUUUAAGUAAUGAUUGUGCAAAGGAUAUAUAAGAAUCAGUCAUUAAAGCUGAGGUAAAAUCAGGGAUAGCACAUUGAAAUUUUGGCAGAAAUGAUAUCAUUAAUAUACAGGCCAAAGUUUAAAAUUUAAUCAGAAAGCUAAAUAUUGCACUAGCUUCAGGAUGGGACUAGGCGUUCUCUUGUGGUAUAGCAGGUUAAGGACCCAGUGUCACCACUGCUAUAGCAUGGAUUUGACCCCUGGCUUGGGAACUUCCACAUGCCACAGGUGUGGUCAAAAUCUUAAAUAAAUCAAUAAAGGAUGGAUUAGUGUUCCAUGACUGUCCUAUAUGGAAAAUGAGAUGAUGACCAGCACCUAGAGACACAAGUGUGGCAGGAGUCAGAAUUAACUGGCCCACUCUACUUGUAGAAUAAAAUCUUUUUCUAAAACCCACAAACUAAUAGAUUAGGGUUUGGAGGGCAAGUCAGCAAGAGUAGCUCCUUAUCUACAUGGGUCAGGCCCAUUGAUUGUUUACAAGUGAAGAGAUGGAAUAUAAUACAUAUUAGUAGUGGACAUGACCCUUGGCCAAGAAUUCCAGAGUCUUCCUUGCACAUGCUAUUUACAUGAAGUACUGCAGUAGUCAGAGUAUACCACCUCCACGGAUGUCUCUAGUAGAUGAGAAUUUAAGACUGUACAGAGAGAGCAAAAUGAGCAUGGGAAGGAAAGUAUAGUUAGUUCACAGAACUUUCAGUGCUGUAGCUGCUAUUCAGUGUGAUGGGUGGAAAUAAACCACCCCAUGGGAGUGGAAUCUGUCCAGAGAAAGAGAGAAAUGGCUUAUGUGGGAAAAUGUUGGUUGGAGAAGCAUUUGACAGUUUUCAUCAGUUAUUAACACAAAGGUAAGAGAGAAUAAGUGUAGAGGGGGGAAAAGUGGGAAAAGUUUGGAAAAGUAAUAUCUAGAUUUUUAGAGGGAUUCUGAAGCCAUGAAUACCAAGGCUGGUCAGCAUGGUUUUUUUUGUUUGUUUGUUUUUGUUUUUUGUUUGUUUUUUGUUUUGUUUUGUUUUUUGCUGAGAAAAACAGCAAGAGAAAACCAGCAAGAGAAAACAGAAGGUCGAUGUACUGAUGGAGUGAAGAUGAAUUUUUUCAAUCAUCUGACAACAAAUAUAUGCUUCAUGUGUUGUGAUCUCUGGCUGUCUCUGGGGCUUUGAUCAGUUAUGAAUGUUAUUUCAUCAUAUGCAUGACCUGUGGGGGAAGAAAUCCUAUAUAAAUGAUUGGGAUUACUGCACCAUGCACCUCACAGCUGCAUGAAGUUUGUAAAUAAUUGAACAAGAUUUUCAUGCCACAGCCAACCUCCCAGGUGAAUUAGAUAUAGUACACAUUAAAAUCAAAUAAAAAGUUAGAUCGCUGUAGUUCCAUCUGGGCUUGUUAUCAUGUGAAGUCCUGCUUGUAAUGAAGAAUACUCAAGGAUGACAUCUGAAACAAUAGUUCCUCAGGUUGAUGAGUUCAGUAAUGAAUCGCUCUGUUAUUUCCUUCCAAGACUGAUUAAAAUAGUACUUGAGCUUCUGAAAAUACUGAAGUGCUUAUAAAUGAAGCAAAAAAAGAUAUCUGGUGAAAAACAAGACAGGGCAUGCUCAUUCAGCGGUCAGUGUCUUUACAGCAAAAACAAAUCCCUUCAGCAAACUCAUGAAUGAAAACAUUGCUUUCAUGUUGAAUAAUUCUGAUUUUGUGAGAGAGCCUUCUCUCCAAGUGGGUUGAUCAUAACUUCUAUCUAAUGUAACUGGACCAACCUUAAGAAUCUAUUGUUUGUAGAUUCAUGAAUAGAGUCUGCCAGGGUAUAUAUCUUACCUAAUUAUGCAUUCAUUCAAGGAUCACAGAAAAAGCAUCAAAGUUUUAGUUUCUGUGGGUAAAAUAAAACUGAUGUAGAUUUAGCUUUGACAAGGAGGAGCACAUAGACAGGAAGAUAAUUAAUACCUGUUACUCACCAGAUUAAGCUAUAUUGUGAUAUAGUCCAUAGAAAAGCAUAAAGUAUUAUAAAAGUUCCAUUUUGUUUUUAAGCUGAGGAGAGAUUAGAAUAGGCCACUUUGAGGAUGGGAUAUAUAAAUGGACCAAAAAAAAAAAAA